This 1441-nucleotide long non-coding RNA is filed under the name Anas platyrhynchos platyrhynchos (common mallard). Its description in RNAcentral is "lncRNA (ENSAPLG00000024387.1)". Lineage: Eukaryota; Metazoa; Chordata; Aves; Anseriformes; Anatidae. The record is from RNAcentral.
AGGUGUGUGUGAGCAUGCAGAAGUGCACAGGGCCGCCUGUGAGCAAGUGUGCAUGAGUGCACGAGCAUGCACGAGCAUGUGUGAGCAUGUGUGAGCCUGCAGAGCAUGCACGAGCGUGUGCGAGGAUGCACGAGGCCCGCUGAGGCCGCCCAAGUGCACGGCCCCGUGUGCGAGGCCGCCCGAGCGUGCCCGGCCACCCGCUGCCCCGCUCCGGGCCGCACAAGGGCCACGCGCACGGCCCCGCGCGAGGGCGGCUGCGCCAGCGCCCCCGGCAGAGCGCGGAAACGCGCGGCCCGCGCCCUGCCCUGCGGUUUCGAGGCGCCGAGGAGCAGGAAGCGGCCUCGAAGGCGGCCGCCGCCUUCCUGCCCCCGCCAGCGGGGCGCCCCGGGCCCUCGAGGCUGCGUCAGGGCCCCGGGGCCGCGGCACUUCCUCCCCGGGGCCGCUUCCGCCCGCUGCCGCCUGCCCCCGGCCGCGCUGGGGCUUUGGGCGCCCCGCUCCCCGCUCGGGGCUCCUCCUGGGGCUGGGCCCCGCCAUGGGCAGGAUCUGACCCCGCCGGGGGGGUCCCCGCCGCCCCCAUGUCGCUGGCGCUCAAGGCCCGGCAGAAGGCGAGGCGCAAGGGCGGCGCCAAGGAGCGGGUGUUCGGCUGCGACCUCCUCGAGCAUCUCCAGCAGUCGGGGCAGGAUGUGCCCCAGGUGCUGAGGAGCUGCACUGAGUUCGUGGAGCAGCACGGGGUGGUGGACGGCAUCUACCGCCUGUCGGGGGUCUCCUCCAACAUCCAGCGGCUGCGGUGAGCGGGGCGGGGGGCCGGGGAGGGGCUGGGGAGGGGCCGGGAAGGGGUGGGGAGGGGUUGGGGAGGGGGAGAUGGGGUGGAGAUGGGGGUGGGGGGAGGCAGAGGAGGGAGCGGGAUGGGGCUGGGACCAGAACGGGGCAGGGAGAUGGGGACGGGGACGGACGAGGCAGGACCAGAGGGAAGGAGAUGGGGAGGGGGGCACAGGGGUGGGGUGGGGGUGGGUGAGGACAGCAGCAGGCAGAGGGGAGAUGGGGAUGGGGGCAGGGCCAGAAGGGGUGGAAAUGGGGUGCUGCGUUUCCCCCAGCAUCCCCCACAUCCCUGGUGUCCCUCGAGCCCGGGUGUUUCCAGCGUCUCCAACAUCUCCAUGUCCCCAGGGGUCCCCAAAUCCCGGUGUCCCUGUACUUAUGGCACCCCCAUUGUCCCCAAAUCCCCCUGUCCCCAAAUCCCCAUGUCCCUCUAUUCCUGGUGCCCCCGUUAUCCCCAAAUCCCAGUGUCCCCAAAUCCCCACAUCUCUGUGUCCUCUGCAUUGUCCUGUCCCCAAAUCCCUGCAUCCCUGUACUCCUGGCACCCCCAUUGUCCCCAAAUCCCUAUGUUCCUGUAUUCUUGGCAUCCCCAGUGUCCCUAAUUCCCUAUGUCCCUGCAUCCUCUGUA